AAUAAUUUAACCGUUAGAAAAUAAAAAUAAUUUAAAUUUUAAUGUAAUAAAAAUUAAUAACUUACCAAUAAGUUCCUCAGGGUCUAUCGGGGUCUAGAACAUCCAAACCCUCCUGUCCAUGCUGGACAAGCAAAUCCUCCACCGUAUAUCUCGCGAAUGGAGAAUAUGAAGGCUUACGCAAAUCCGGAUGAACUGCACCUUCUGGGACAGGCUGAGGU
This 218-nucleotide long non-coding RNA is filed under the name Brassica napus (rape). Its description in RNAcentral is "long non-coding RNA (BNAP_LNC013958)". Lineage: Eukaryota; Viridiplantae; Streptophyta; Magnoliopsida; Brassicales; Brassicaceae. The record is from RNAcentral.